UACGUAGGGUGCAAGCGUUAUCCGGAAUUAUUGGGCGUAAAGAGCUCGUAGGCGGUUUGUCGCGUCUGCUGUGAAAACCCGAGGCUCAACCUCGGGCCUGCAGUGGGUACGGGCAGACUAGAGUGCGGUAGGGGAGAUUGGAAUUCCUGGUGUAGCGGUGGAAUGCGCAGAUAUCAGGAGGAACACCGGUGGCGAAGGCAGCUCGCUGGGACGGUACUGACGCUGAGGCGCGAAAGCGUGGGGAGCGAACAGG
RNAcentral lists this ribosomal RNA (253 nucleotides) under uncultured bacterium. Its description in RNAcentral is "partial 16S ribosomal RNA". It matches the Rfam family "Bacterial small subunit ribosomal RNA", at positions 524 to 776 of the family's 1533-position model. The record is from RNAcentral.